Molecule: ribosomal RNA, 92 nt
Filed under: Fictibacillus barbaricus
Lineage: Bacteria; Bacillati; Bacillota; Bacilli; Caryophanales; Fictibacillaceae
Source: RNAcentral
ACACCCGUUCCCAUACCGAACACGGAAGUUAAGCUCUUCAGCGCCGAUGGUAGUUGGGGGUCUCCCCCUGUUAGAGUAGGACGUCGCUGAGC